UACGUAGGGUCCGAGCGUUGUCCGGAAUUAUUGGGCGUAAAGAGCUCGUAGGCGGCAUGUCGCGUCUGCUGUGAAAGACCGGGGCUUAACUCCGGUUCUGCAGUGGAUACGGGCAUGCUAGAGGUAGGUAGGGGAAACUGGAAUUCCUGGUGUAGCGGUGAAAUGCGCAGAUAUCAGGAGGAACACCGGUGGCGAAGGCGGGUUUCUGGGCAUUACCUGACGCUGAGGAGCGAAAGUGUGGGGAGCGAACAGG
Molecule: ribosomal RNA, 253 nt
Filed under: uncultured prokaryote
Description: partial 16S ribosomal RNA
Rfam family: Bacterial small subunit ribosomal RNA
Source: RNAcentral